ACGGAAGGCAGCAGUGGGGAAUAUUGGGCAAUGGGCGAAAGCCUGACCCAGCAACGCCGCGUGAAGGAAGAAGGCCUUCGGGUUGUAAACUUCUUUUACCAGGGACGAAGGACGUGACGGUACCUGGAGAAAAAGCAACGGCUAACUACGUGCCAGCAGCCGCGGUAAUACGUAGGUUGCAAGCGUUGUCCGGAUUUACUGGGUGUAAAGGGCGUGUAGGCGGAGCUGCAAGUCAGAUGUGAAAUCCCGGGGCUCAACCCCGGAACUGCAUUUGAAACUGUAGCCCUUGAGUAUCGGAGAGGCAAGCGGAAUUCCUAGUGUAGCGGUGAAAUGCGUAGAUAUUAGGAAGAACACCGGUGGCGAAGGCGGCCUGCUGGACGACAACUGACGCUGAGGCGCGAAAGCGUGGGGAGCAAACAGGAUUAGAUACCCUGGUA
RNAcentral lists this ribosomal RNA (437 nucleotides) under uncultured Papillibacter sp. RNAcentral's name for it is "partial 16S ribosomal RNA". It matches the Rfam family "Bacterial small subunit ribosomal RNA", at positions 341 to 792 of the family's 1533-position model. Lineage: Bacteria; Bacillati; Bacillota; Clostridia; Eubacteriales; Oscillospiraceae. The record is from RNAcentral.